CCUACGGGAGGCAGCAGUGGGGAAUAUUGGACAAUGGGCGAAAGCCUGAUCCAGCAAUGCCGCGUGAGUGAUGAAGGCCUUAGGGUUGUAAAGCUCUUUUACCAGGGAUGAUAAUGACAGUACCUGGAGAAUAAGCUCCGGCUAACUCCGUGCCAGCAGCCGCGGUAAUACGGAGGGAGCUAGCGUUGUUCGGAAUUACUGGGCGUAAAGCGUACGUAGGCGGUUAUUCAAGUCAGAGGUGAAAGCCUGGAGCUCAACUCCAGAACUGCCUUUGAAACUAGAUAGCUAGAAUCUUGGAGAGGUGAGUGGAAUUCCGAGUGUAGAGGUGAAAUUCGUAGAUAUUCGGAAGAACACCAGUGGCGAAGGCGACUCACUGGACAAGUAUUGACGCUGAGGUACGAAAGCGUGGGGAGCAAACAGGAUUAGAUACCCUGGUAGUCCACGCCGUAAACGAUGAUAACUAGCUGUUCGGGCUCUACGAGCUUGAGUGGCGCNGCUACGACAUUAAGUUAGUCCGUCCGUCGGGAGGUACGGUCGCGAAGAAGUUAAAACGUUAAAGUUAGUUAAGUUAGUACGGUUACGUUGAGACGUUGCCGACGGACGACGACGAGGGAGGAGG
This 619-nucleotide ribosomal RNA is filed under the name uncultured bacterium. RNAcentral's name for it is "bacterial SSU rRNA". The stretch from base 1 to 519 matches the Rfam family "Bacterial small subunit ribosomal RNA", at positions 338 to 873 of the family's 1533-position model. The record is from RNAcentral.